This is a long non-coding RNA of Taeniopygia guttata (zebra finch), 3450 nucleotides long. NCBI's taxonomy places the organism in Eukaryota, Metazoa, Chordata, Aves, Passeriformes, Estrildidae. The record is from Ensembl.
AAAAUUGCUACUUUAAUUGCUACUUUCCAGUUCACAUUUUCCCAGCUUAGUCCCUGUAUAAGGGACAUUUUAAAGAUUGAGCAAAGAGGAAUAGCCAGUUUUACCAGAGAGGGUACAAGGAGCUAAAACGAAGUUAAACUGAGAUGAGCUAGAAACCCCCUACAUAUCUUGCAUUGUAUAUUUUAAAAGACAAAAUGGGCUUGUACAAAAUGGAGACAUGUUGGAAAUAAACCCACUGCCUUUGAUAUUCUAAUAUAAAAAAGUACAACUAUAAGGCUUGUGUCAGUAGCCCCCAGGCAAUAGAUUUUCUGUUUCCCACUGGGCUUUCAGUAGUCACUGAAGAGAUGCAGUAAGAAGAGGCAGCUGGGGAGAAGGCCAGGGGAGCAGAAGUGAGCACACAGAUGUACAGGUGAGGACAGGUCUCACCUCAAGACCUGGAACUGAGAAUUGCCUGUAGGUAGGCCUCUGGCUGUAAGCCUGUGCUUCUUUCAGCUCCUGCUGUGUCUGAGCCUUGGCCUGCCAUUUCUGGUUCUUGCAGCACUCUUUUCUAAGCAGUUCUGUGGCUUCCAUCAAAACCAGUGGGUAAACUGCCUUUCCUCUGCUCGUUUUUUGGCUGCAGCAAUUUCCUCUGUGCUUCUGUUGGUUAGUCUAUUUAUGGUGACCGCAAUUUUUCCCCUUCAUGCUGACUUAAGUAGGAAAAAAUUUCAAAUGAUCAUCUGUUCUCAAUUUUCUUUAGGCGUUUAACUCUUUCUAUCCUUGAUGUUGUUUUGCUUAGCAGAUUAUUGGUUCAAAUCCCUGUUCCAGGAGUGUCUGAGCCUAGGACAACAUCCAAGUUUGUGUUGGAAGUUAAAAGCCGUAUGUAACAUCACACAGUUCACUGAAUCUGACACCAUAUCAAGAAAAGAUGCUCAAAGAAAUACACUUGCUGAGCCCUUAAUGGGAAUUGACAUACAACUAAGUAGCAUCUUUCUUUGCUGAAGUGGAAUUAUACCAGAAAGGGUGACAGCACUUUGAUGGAAAGCUGAGACGCUGUGGUAAGGUCAAAGUUCUUAAGGAGAAGAAUUCCAGAUCCUGCAGUGAUGUAUUUCGUUUAUGUCUCCAGUGAGGGGCCAGGUUCAGAUUUCUUUGAAGGGUUGACUUGAGCAAUUGUCCUGGCUUGGCUGGGAUAGAGUUAAUUUUUUUCUUAGUGGAUGGUUAGAACAAAACAGCUGCCUAUUUUUGAGUUCAUCACAUGCAGGCAUGAAAUGUCUACAGACCUCCUGAGGAAGAGGGAAAUGGAAUUUCUUUGUUGCUGUGAAAAUAAGACAAACUGGCUGCUAGUGCAAUGGUACUGACUGGGUCUCAGAGGGUGCAAUGUCUGAGCAGACUCAAGGAGCUACAAAAUCUAUUGCCUUGUUCCACCACUAGCACCUUUAGGAAAUGUGAAGGGCAUUCCUCCUUUGAAAACAUUUCACUCUUGCAAUUGCAGUCAGAGUAGAUAUAGUUUGUAGUUCCUUUCACAAACAGUUGGAUGCAAUAACUGCUGCAAAUUGUCAGAGCGCUCUUCCUCAGCCCCUCAGACACCUCUCAGUGGUCACAGGAGCAGAAUUCAGCCAUAGAAGGGUUACUGCCAGAGACAGGGGUGUUUAUCACCUUUAAGUUUGUAUGUGCUGGGUUUGGCUUUGCUACUUACUGGAAACUGUGUAACUAGAAAUUAAGUUCAUAAAAUCAGCACUGUGUAAUUUGGCCAAUUCUAGUUUUAAGGCUGUUUACGUGUUUAGAGGCUGAACGGAAGGGUGUGAAAGGCUAGUAUUCACAUCACAGAUUUUCAAAUGCAUAUUCAUCAAAGUGGCAAAUUUUUAAUGGCAAAACACUGAUACUCUUUUUGGUCCUAGUGUUGCUGGGCAGAAUUACAAAGGUUUUUCUAUUUUUCCAAAGAAGUAAAAUAUUCAAUCUUUUCUUUACAUUUUCAAUGACAUGGGAAGGGGGCUUCUAGUAGGUAUUUUGCAGUGUCUAUUUUGCUGUCUCUGCUGAGGAGAGGAUGAGGAUUAAGGACGAGGUGUGCAACAUGCUGAAGUGAGGCUUUUGUGUCUUUAGUGAAGCACAAUUAUUACAUCUGACCCAACAUAAACUCUGAGUAGAAAAUGCCUGUAAUUAAUGAAAUGUUUUGGGUUUUGGCACUAAAGCCAGUUACUUCUUCAUAAUUUCUGGGGAAACAGAAUUGUCACUGGAAUUUACUGUGUGGUCUAAAAAUGCUCUGGAAUUUAUGUGACUUUGGCCAGGGAGGGAAGCAACCAUUGUAGACUGGCUUGAGUUGUGGGGCUCUUUCUUAACACAGUAAUUCAAAAGUCUUCCAGUCCAAAGGCAAGGCAGUGAAAUUGAACAUACUCUAGAGAAGAUCUCACCAGAUUAAGGUUUUCACCCAUGGGUCAAUUUUCAGCAAAGCUUGGGCUGGCAUCACAGAGCCAGUCAGCCAGGAGGACAACACCUGGCUCGCAUCUGCCUCGUGGACACAUAAAACCUUAUAAACAACCCACAAAAUUGACACCUUGAAGCAUAACAAGAGGUAUCAUACAGGAACCACUCUGCCAGAAGCAGCAAAAGAAUGACAGUGAUCCAUCAGCUAUGGAUCUUUUAGGAAGCUUUGGAUAAAGGGUAGUGAAUCACAGCUACUGUCUCUGGAUCAUUCUGUGCCAUACUAUUGUCUGUAUGAACCUCUGAUAGCAAGAAAGAAAGGAGCAUGCCUGGGAUUUCCCUCCUGAACCUAGGUGGAAUGUGCACAGAAGCAUGAGAUUUGCCUAAACUGGUAAGUUUUUUGACUUACUUUAUCAGUCACAGUAACAAAUUUCUCAUACUAUACUAAGAGCACAGAAAUUCUUGAAAGUAUAGCUUAUUUCUGUAUUAUUCAUUUUGCCUUCUUACUUUGCAUUGCAAUUUCUGGAUAUCCUAGAGUUGAUUUCUUAGUGUAUUGAUGAGGAGAGACACUAUGUAGGGAGCUAAACAUGCCUGAACUGGUGUGCAGAUGGAGAACAGAACUGGCCAUGCCUGAUGACAGUGCCCGGAGAAACACUGCCUGUCUGCUCCCGUGGAAACAGCUGAGCACAGUGAGGCGGUUAAGGGUGCAAAGGGGUUGGUCACCUCUGCAGGCAGCACUGGGGUCAAUCCCAAGCACGGUGAACAGAAGCUUUUAAUACUAAGCAGUGAAGCACUAUGAAAAUACAGUGGGAAAUGAGUCCAAAAGAAGUGAAGUACGUUAAUCUGAAUAUCCUUUCCAUACUCCAUUAAGAAUCUUUAACACUGUGUUGCACUUCAUUAAUAAAUAGUGUUUCUGCAUCACUAAAAGACCGGUGACAGCAGCGUUCCUUAAAGAGGUCACCUCUCUGGAGGUCUGCGGGAUCGGAGCCAGGACGCACUGGUCUGCAAGGGCAAGCUGUGAAACAAAGAACUCUCGGAGAGGGAAGACGUGAACAU